AUAAACAAGAUGGCGACCCGAAACACACCUACCACAGUGCGCAGGCGCGGAUACACACUGUGGAAUGCCAUGACAACAUACUAUGUCAUUUCCGGUGCUGGACCGGAAACACUGUCUAUCUUAGAUGCAGCGACGACGAGUGCGUUCCACACAGAGCCUGCCGGCGACACGCAUGCCGCGAUCUCCUUCCUCCUGGGACAUCGAGGAAAGCUGCGCCAAAGGUGUCUGGAAGCAGUUCGUCUCCACAGAAUGACCCCGUUCGUUCAAGGAGAGACAAUCUAAACCCGUCUACGGCCAGCACAAUCUCCUUGUUUACCUUAUAACAUCAGUACGGGGACGCAUUAUGUCAACUAAAACAUACAGGAUCCCAUCUACGUGCCCAUUGAUGUAUUAUGUAUUCCGUGAAGCCAUCUCAACUGGAGGAAAUAAUUGCUAAUGAACGUUCCGCCGGAGCGCAGAACGCAACUACAAUUAGCCGUCCCCCAUCGGCCGCAGAGAACAGAAGCAACCUGGCUCCAUCCACUUAAAAUAUGAAGUUCAUCGUUGCAUUCAUCACCUUAAUUACCUUACUAAGUGUGUCCUCAUAAAUUUCCCCCCGCAAACUCAUCCACGGGAACAAUAAUUAUCUUACAGCAGACAAACUACUAAAAAAUGUUUAUGGAAAAAAGAAGUCCCAAAGGCAGAAGAAGUGUUAGCGCCUCAAAGUGCACAGCUGAUGUGUUAGUCAAACACACAAAGCAGACCCGACAUUUAUCAUGCUUCCUUCGAAUGGAGUUAAUAAAGGUGAAAAAAAAAAAACACAAAAAAACCAAAAGUGACAAAAGCCGUUAACAUCAAGAGCUGGAAAGGUUAGUUACGGGCCCAUUGUGGUCCAUCAGGAUGCAGCAGGUUAAAGGAAGCAGAGCCUGUGGCGAUAGGUGCCACAAGUUGGGAAGGUC
Long non-coding RNA from Hyla sarda, 938 nucleotides. RefSeq lists it as uncharacterized. Lineage: Eukaryota; Metazoa; Chordata; Amphibia; Anura; Hylidae. The record is from RefSeq and is a predicted model, not a curated record. The transcript has 4 exons.